UACGGAAGGUGGCAAGCGUUGUUCGGAUUUACUGGGCGUACAGGGAGCGUAGGCGGUUGGAUAAGCCCUCCGUGAAAUCUCCAGGCUUAACCUGGAAAGUGCAGAGGGGACUGUUCAGCUAGAGGAUGGGAGAGGAGCGCGGAAUUCCCGGUGUAGCGGUGAAAUGCGUAGAGAUCGGGAGGAAGGCCGGUGGCGAAGGCGGCGCUCUGGAACAUUUCUGACGCUGAGGCUCGAAAGCGUGGGGAGCAAACAGG
Molecule: ribosomal RNA, 254 nt
Filed under: uncultured bacterium
Lineage: Bacteria
Description: partial 16S ribosomal RNA
Rfam family: Bacterial small subunit ribosomal RNA
Source: RNAcentral